GGGUUCGACGGAAGGAGCGGCGGCGACGGAGGAGGAGGAGGAGGAGGAUGGAGGCGGUGGUGUUCGUCUUCUCUCUCCUCGAUUGUUGCGCGCUCAUCUUCCUCUCGGUCUACUUCGCCAGUUGCAGUGGCUGACACCUGUCCCCAGUACUUUGGGAGGCCGAGGAGGGAGAAUCACUUGAGCCCAGGGGUUCGAGACCAGCUCUGGUAACAUAGGGAGACUUCCUCUCUACAAAAAUAAAACAAAAGGAAAAAAAAAAAGAAACAUGUUUCAGGUCUGUGUCUGUGUAAUACAAAGAUGAUUGCAGCCUACAGUAAGAAAUCCAGAGACUGAAGGCUAUAGCUUUAGGGAUCUGAUAUGGAUCGGAGAGUAUUAGUAUAACAUCAGCUGACAUUUUAUUGAGUGCCUACUUUGCAUGUGGCUUACAUGUUAUUUCAUCUAAUUCUCUACAACAACUUCGUGAGUGGGUAAUUCCAGAAUUGAUUGGCCAUACCAUUGUCACUGUAUUACUGCUCAUUUCAUUGCACUGGUUCAUCUUCCUUCUCAACUUACCUGUUGCCACUUGGAAUAUAUAUCGAUACAUUAUGGUGCCGAGUGGUAACAUGGGAGUGUUUGAUCCAACAGAAAUACACAAUCGAGGGCAGCUGAAGUCACACAUGAAAGAAGCCAUGAUCAAGCUUGGUUUCCACUUGCUCUGCUUCUUCAUGUAUCUUUAUAGUAUGAUCUUAGCUUUGAUAAAUGACUGAAGCUGGAGAAGCCGUGGUUGAAGUCAGCCUACACUACAGUGCACAGUUGAGGAGCCAGAGACUUCUUAAAUCAUCCUUAGAACCGUGACCAUAGCAGUAUAUAUUUUCCUCUUGGAACAAAAAACUAUUUUUGCUGUAUUUUUACCAUAUAAAGUAUUUAAAAAACAUGAAUUGAG
This 922-nucleotide small RNA is filed under the name Pan troglodytes (chimpanzee). RNAcentral's name for it is "processed transcript". The record is from RNAcentral. Lineage: Eukaryota; Metazoa; Chordata; Mammalia; Primates; Hominidae.